Long non-coding RNA from Haemorhous mexicanus (house finch), 3521 nucleotides. RefSeq lists it as uncharacterized. The record is from RefSeq and is a predicted model, not a curated record. NCBI's taxonomy places the organism in Eukaryota, Metazoa, Chordata, Aves, Passeriformes, Fringillidae. The transcript has 4 exons.
UUCUUGUUCCAGGCAACAAGUGGCAGGACAAGAGGAAGUGGCCUCAGGCUGCACAAGGGCAGGUUUAGGUCGGAUGUUAGAGGAUGUUUCUUCAGGGAAGGGGUGAAGUCAUCAUCCCUGGAAGUGUUCAAAAAUUGAGUGGAUGUGGCACCUAGGGAUAUGGGUUACUCGUGGCCUUGGCAGUGAUAGGGAAUCAAUAGCUGGAAUCAGUGAUUUUAGAGGGCUUUUCCAAUCUCAGCAAAUCUGCAAUUCUAUAAUUCUGCUGCUGUGGUACAACCAGUGAGCAUCUAUCACAUUCAGGGCCAUCAUCUGGAAGUACCCAUACCCUUACCUACCCGAGUGGUGAGUGUGGAAGGAGCUAGGAGGGAUGGCCAUGGGUUCUGGAUGAAUUUUAGGGACCCAUCUGCCUCCAUUUGUCCAUGAAUGGGAAAAACAUACAAAGACAAGCUGCUCAGAGCACCCUGGUCCUCCCAGCAGCUCUGUGUGUCCCAGUGGAGUGGCAGCUGUAUGUGCCUUUAGGUGGGGACCAUACACCCACCGUGGGCUCUUCCCUGCAGCUUUCCAAAGGCAUUUUAAUGAACCUGGUGUAGUGGCAGGGUGCAGAAAUGGUGAGUCAGACCCCAGAAUUGCCAGGCUCAGCGGCUGCUCGUGUUCAGUGAAGGUUGUGGAUUGUUCAGGGUUUGGGGAUUAUUUUCAGAUUAUUUCUGGAUUUUGGGGCUUGUGUGUCAUAGUGUGGUUUUGGUGGUUUUUGUUUUUGGUUUUUUUUCUGUAAUGGAGAGACUCCUUGCCUAAAGAAGACCUCUGCACAUUCACUGAAGUUGUCACAUCUCUGUUCCUGGAGGGUCUGGGAGCACAAAGGCUCCUGCCUGGGACGAGGCUCAUGGCAAACACAGGGGGCACAGUGCACAUCAGCAGUGUCUCCCAUCCACUUCACUGAACAGCACACAGAGCACACAACUACCCACCUCUCAAUCUGUUCUCUUUUCUUUUUAUCCACUCUCUUUUAAUUGCUGAUGAUCACUCCCAGGCUUUGCUCCAGGCUCAGUGAUGUGAUUCAUCUUGGCUGCUGUGGAGAUGGAAUGGGAACUGCUGUCUGCAGUGUUGGUGUGCCAUAGCUGCUCAUGAAAUCCUGUGCUGCUGGCAUGGUUGGGCCAUUUCCCCUAGAAGGGAAAAAAUGCUUUAUUUUCUCUUGAUGGAUUUUUAUGGUAGCUGUAAACAUGGAGCAGCUGCAGGACACAGGGAGUGAAACCACCUCACACCACUGGCAGCAAGGAAAUUCUUCGGCAUUGGAGACCUGAGAUUGAGCGUGGGUUUUCCGUCUGCCACCGGACGCCAUGGCACAGGCUGGCCCAAGGCAUCACCUUCUGUCCCCUUCCUUCACCACGUGUAGAGGCACCUGAAGAGGGAUGCAAUUCCCGAUACCAAGGCGUUGGCAAAGCUCCGAGCAUUGCUCGGCACUGCUGGUCCCACUGGCUCCAGCUGAAGGGUCCUGCAGCGGUUCAAGGACCAGAGGAAAGUUCACAGAGACCUCAUGAUCUGUGUGGAAAUGCUUCCCCUGUCCACAGCGGGGCUGAGGGGCUGUGUUUUAGCAGCUGCUUGAGCUUGUGUAAGGGGUGGGAAAGGAGGUGGAGCUGACCCCAAUGGGGCUCUCAGAGAGAGGUGUCUGGGGGGUGCCCACGGGCACACCAACCCCCCGGGCCUCCAGGACAGCGGUGAGCAGGCGCUGCUGCUGCUGGCGCAGCAUGUCAGCCAUCAGCAGGGGCAGGGAGUUGAAGCUGGCACUGAGCUGCUCCAGCUUGGAUUCCAGGCCACUGAUCUGCUUUUCCAGGUCCUCACUGCGGUCAUUUAGCUCUGUGAUGAGGUCGUACAUCACGUUCUGCAUCUGGGGAGGGGACACAGGGGAUAGUGGCGGGGUUAGUACUAUGGCUGGAGGGGUUAGUGCCACACUGCUGCUAGCAGAGCUCACCCCUUUACCCCUUUCUGCCCUGAGAGCUGCCCCAUCUCAGCCCUCCCCAGGUUCUCCAAGGGUUCUGCCACUGCAGUUUGGCUCAUCCCUGGCCAUCAAAGUGAGGAAACUCUGCUGGCCCUGUGCUGCUGAGGAGUGGUAUCCCUUGCAAAAAGGGUUGCAGGGAACCUCUGGCUCAUGAAUGUGUAUCUCCUGCUUUGCAAGGGCAGCCAUCCCACAGCAGCUAUUCCUUGCUGACAUUUACUGAGUCGGAGCAUUUUGCGGUCAGCCAAGUCUGCUUUAGUUAUUCCGAGUGAAGAGAAACACUCAGUCUGGCCAAGCCACAGGGUUCCUGUGGGACUUGCCUUUGAGAGGUCGACAAGGGUGUUGGCUUGGUCACUCAGCUUCCUCUGCUCCAUCUUCACGCUCCGUAACCUAGGGAGAAGGAAAGAGCACAUGGCUGUACUCCCGCCCUUCUUUCCAACUGCAUCUGGAGACCUGCCUGCAUUUUGGGCAAUGGAAAACUGUCCCCACACCCCUGCCAGGGACAGGAUCCUGGUUUAUCUGGAACUCGGUCUGCCCCCAGCCCACUGCACAGCCUCUUACUGGUGGAUGGCUUGUAGGAACUUCCUCUGGUGUUUUCUGACUUUAGCAUGGUCGAUCUUCUUCAGCAGCUUGGUGUGCUUGUAGAUCAGCCACGUUUCCCGCAGGACGUUGGCUGCCGCGUUCUUGAUCUGAAAAAGAAGAGUGGCUGCAGGUCACCAACCACGUGGGAUGUCAGAGACUCUGCUCUGGCUCUGCCAUGAACCAGUGCUGCACAUCACCUGCCCCAGCUGGAGCGAGGUGCUCGGCUCUGUACCCGCACGCUCUCUUGGACUGUUCCAGGGGAUGCUGCGCACUUCGAGCAGGAGUAAGAGAGGGCAGAGCUGUUGACCCCUGCUACUCCCACAUCCCAGUCCUGGCUCUUUGCCCACAUACAAAGUUGUACCAUAAGCCUCGAGAAAAAAAAUCCCAAAGUUUUUUCUCCACCAGCUGCCUGCAGGCUAGGGAAAAUGCUGCAUUUCAGGCUCUUUCUCAGAAUUUUUAACAUAUUCUCCAUUGCUAUGCUGGGAACCUCCUGAGAGAGAUCAGCAGGAGCUUCUGCUGGGCAAGAUGGACAGGGGGGCACCCAUCUGUGAAUCCUGGCAGGUCCCGGACCAGCAGGUCCCAGUUGUGCUGCCGGCACUGGGACGUGACUUCCGCAGGCUCUUCAGCUGAACCGCAGCUCAGCCGCUCACACCAGGAGCAAUUGGCUGCUCUCUGCCUGGCAUGGAGCCUGCAGAUCCCUAUCAAUGGCCAGUGCAGAGGGGCUCACCAGCUGUUUUGCUUUCCCAGCCUGGUGACACCAAGGUCCUGACUAUUCCUGGGGUGUCAGAGCUUUGUCUGGGGCUCUGGUCUCUGGGGUGAAGUGGGUGCCCUGCUUGCAUCCCACCACUGGUUUUCUUUCCAAGGGCUGCACUGAUGCUCAUUUUGCCACCAUCCCCUCUAAAAUGUAUUCUGUUGUUAUAUAUAACAUUAUAUAUGACAUUAUAUGACA